Molecule: long non-coding RNA, 217 nt
Filed under: Elaeis guineensis (African oil palm)
Lineage: Eukaryota; Viridiplantae; Streptophyta; Magnoliopsida; Arecales; Arecaceae
Description: long non-coding RNA (EGUI_LNC032895)
Source: RNAcentral
CUUAGCAUGUAUAAUUUUUUUUUAAUAUUAUGAGAUGAUAGACUUUGUGAGUAGAAAUCUUCUUGUUCAUAUUUGAUUUUUUUUAUUUUCUAUAUUGUGUGAGUAGAAAUCUUCUCAUACCUAAUGUAUCAUAACCAAAGCCCUUGGCCGCCUCCCGCCUCCUCGAGCCUGGUCCGAAUCAUUUGUACUGACCAUAAGAAUAUAGCAAGCAAAAUCC